Molecule: ribosomal RNA, 429 nt
Filed under: Chloroflexota bacterium
Lineage: Bacteria; Bacillati; Chloroflexota
Description: Chloroflexi bacterium partial 16S ribosomal RNA
Rfam family: Bacterial small subunit ribosomal RNA
Source: RNAcentral
UGGGGAAUAUUGCACAAUGGGCGCAAGCCUGAUGCAGCCAUGCCGCGUGUAUGAAGAAUGCCUUCGGGUUGUAAAGUACUUUCAGUCGGGAGGAAGGUGGUAAGGUUAAUAACCUUAUCAAUUGACGUUACCGACAGAAGAAGCACCGGCUAACUCCGUGCCAGCAGCCGCGGUAAUACGGAGGGUGCAAGCGUUAAUCGGAAUUACUGGGCGUAAAGCGCACGCAGGCGGUUGAUUGAGUCAGAUGUGAAAUCCCCGGGCUUAACCCGGGAAUUGCAUCUGAUACUGGUCAGCUAGAGUCUUGUAGAGGGGGGUAGAAGUCCAUGUGUAGCGGUGAAAUGCGUAGAGAUGUGGAGGAAUACCGGUGGCGAAGGCGGCCCCCUGGACAAAGACUGACGCUCAGGUGCGAAAGCGUGGGGAGCAAACAGG